UGAAUGGAGCUCAUGGGGCUGACCACCCUCAG
This 32-nucleotide non-coding RNA is filed under the name Rattus norvegicus (Norway rat). Lineage: Eukaryota; Metazoa; Chordata; Mammalia; Rodentia; Muridae. The record is from RNAcentral.